Molecule: ribosomal RNA, 397 nt
Filed under: uncultured bacterium
Lineage: Bacteria
Description: bacterial SSU rRNA
Rfam family: Bacterial small subunit ribosomal RNA
Source: RNAcentral
GACGAACGCUGGCGGCGUGCUUAACACAUGCAAGUCGAGCGGUAAGGCCCUUUCGGGGGUACACGAGCGGCGAACGGGUGAGUAACACGUGGGUGACCUGCCUUUAGCUCUGGGAUAAGCCUGGGAAACGUAGGGUCUAAUACCGGAUAUGACUCCGCGGUGCAUGCUGUGGGGUGGAAAGCCUUGUGCGGCUGGAGAUGGGCCCGCGGCCUAUCAGCUUGUUGGUGGGGUGAUGGCCUACCAAGGCGACGACGGGUAGCCGGCCUGAGAGGGCGACCGGCCACACUGGGACUGAGACACGGCCCAGACUCCUACGGGAGGCAGCAGGUGGGGAAUCUUGCGCAAUGGGCGAAAGCCUGACGCAGCGACGCCGCGUGAGGGAUGACGGCCUUCGGUU